Molecule: ribosomal RNA, 116 nt
Filed under: Bacillus sonorensis
Lineage: Bacteria; Bacillati; Bacillota; Bacilli; Caryophanales; Bacillaceae
Also listed under: 1 other name
Source: RNAcentral
UCUGGUGGCGAUAGCGAAGAGGUCACACCCGUUCCCAUGCCGAACACGGAAGUUAAGCUCUUCAGCGCCGAUGGUAGUUGGGGGUCUCCCCCUGUGAGAGUAGGACGCCGCCAAGC